CUUACCAGGUCCAGACACAGUUAGGAUUGACAGAUUGAGAGCUCUUUCUUGAUUCUGUGGGUGGUGGUGCAUGGCCGUUCUUAGUUGGUGGACUGAUCUGUCUGGUUAAUUCCGAUAACGAACGAGACCUCAGUUUAUUAAUUAAAUAAAAAAAUAUUAACAAUAUAAGGGUUGGAGAUUAUUAGUAAAUUAUUUAUAAUUUAUUAUGAUUUUCAAAACUUGUUUAUAUUUCAUUUUAUUUUCUUAAAAAGACACUUGGUGUUUAACCAAGGGAAGUUUGAGGCAAUAACAGGUCUGUGAUGCCCUUUAGAUGUUCUGGGCCGCACGCGCGCUACACUGAUAAAAUCAAUAAGUUUUAUUAAUAAUUAACCUUAAUAGAAAUAUUUGGGUAAACUUUGAAAAUUUUAUCGUGCUGGGGAUUGACAAUUGUAAUUAUUUGUCAUCAACGAGGAAUUCCUAGUAAACGUAAGUCAUCGGCUUACGUUGAUUACGUCCCUGCCCUUUGUACACACCGCCCGUC
This 520-nucleotide ribosomal RNA is filed under the name Korotnevella stella. Its description in RNAcentral is "bacterial SSU rRNA". It matches the Rfam family "Eukaryotic small subunit ribosomal RNA", at positions 1214 to 1677 of the family's 1831-position model. Lineage: Eukaryota; Discosea; Flabellinia; Dactylopodida; Paramoebidae. The record is from RNAcentral.